This 492-nucleotide ribosomal RNA is filed under the name uncultured bacterium. RNAcentral's name for it is "partial 16S ribosomal RNA". It matches the Rfam family "Bacterial small subunit ribosomal RNA", at positions 29 to 507 of the family's 1533-position model. The record is from RNAcentral.
AGUGAACGCUGGCGGCAGGCCUAAUACAUGCAAGUCGAACGGCAGCACAGUAAGAGCUUGCCCUUACGGGUGGCGAGUGGCGGACGGGUGAGGAAUACAUCGGAAUCUACUUUUUCGUGGGGGAUAACGUAGGGAAACUUACGCUAAUACCGCAUACUACCUACGGGUGAAAGCAGGGGAUCUUCGGACCUUGCGCGAUUGAAUGAGCCGAUGUCGGAUUAGAUAGGUGGGGGGGUAAAGGCACACCAAGGCGACGCACCGUAGCCGGACUGACAGGAUGGAUGGGCCACACGGAAACGAGGAACGGUCCCGACGACGAAGGGAGGCAGCAGGAGGGAAAUUUCGGGAAUGGGCGGAAGCCUGACGCCGGCAAGCCGCGUGAGGGAAGGAGGGCUUCGGAGUGUAAAACCCUUUUAUUAGGGAAGAAAAAACGGGUAGGUAAUUCCCCACAUUUUGACGGUACCUAAACAGAAAGCCACGGCUAACUUCGUG